This 253-nucleotide ribosomal RNA is filed under the name uncultured prokaryote. RNAcentral describes it as "partial 16S ribosomal RNA". It matches the Rfam family "Bacterial small subunit ribosomal RNA", at positions 524 to 776 of the family's 1533-position model. The record is from RNAcentral.
GCCAGGGGAUGCAAGCGUUCUCCGUCCUUCUUUUUCUUCCCGCGUCUGUAGGUGGCUUUUUAAGUCUGCCGUCAAAUCCCAGGGCUCAACCCUGGCCAGGCGGUGGAGACUACUAAGCUGGAGUACGGUAGGGGCAGAGGGAAUUUCCGGUGGAGCGGUGAAAUGCGUAGAGAUCCGGAAGAACACCGGUGGCGAAGGCGGUCCGCUGGGGUGUUGCUGACGCUGAGGCGCGACAGCGUGGGGAGCAAACAGG